Molecule: non-coding RNA, 107 nt
Organism: Pteropus alecto (black flying fox)
Lineage: Eukaryota; Metazoa; Chordata; Mammalia; Chiroptera; Pteropodidae
Source: Rfam
GUCUUCACUUUGGCAGCACAUAUAGUAAAAUUGGAACAAUACAGAGAGGAUUAGCAUGGCCUCUGCUCAAGGAUGACGUGCAAAUUCAUGAAGCGUUCCAUAUUUUU